Molecule: long non-coding RNA, 1428 nt
Filed under: Macaca mulatta (Rhesus monkey)
Lineage: Eukaryota; Metazoa; Chordata; Mammalia; Primates; Cercopithecidae
Description: lncRNA (ENSMMUG00000040309.2)
Source: RNAcentral
GUGCGGGGCGCGGGGCGCGGGGCGCGGCAGCUGGACCGUUAGGCUGUGCCCUCCCGCCCCGGCUUCGCUGCAGCCGGACCGCCGCCUGUGCGCCGGCGAGCUCCGGGCGUUCGCUCCCGGCCCGCGGAGGAGGCCGCGGGUUACGAGCGGGGAACCUGGGGACCCCGGCCGGGCGUCCCCUGCCGCUCCCCGAGGAGGGAGAGGACAGGGUGGACAGAGUGAGGAGGUUGGGCAGAGGAGCCCCCAGGUGUCGAUCAGCUGAAGGAGGGAGGCUCACGCGCUCACCCACGCCACGAGUCAGGAGACCCAGCCAGUGCACUGACCGUCCAUGGAAAUCUUCACCGUCUUCCUCCAGAUACACCUAAAUGUAGCCCUUAUUAUGCUGAGAAUACCUGGCCUACCUCAGGAAGCUGCCAUUCCAACCCACCUGGUUCAAGCUGCUUACGUUAUCGAGGGUUGAAGAACCCAAACCAUCCACAUUUGCCAAAGGUCUGGAAGAGAGGCAUAGCUGGAGAAGGAAGAUCAAGGGAGUGUGACUUCAAGAAGAGCAUGCGGUUGUGUCAGUCAAGAAGAAUGCCAUGCCCUCCUCAACAGCCACACCCUUUUGCAUUUGGCCUGAUGGGAUGUUACUCAUCCAGACAGCAAACCCAUCACAAAGGGAAGAAAGGCUCCGGCAGCCAAGUUCACUAAGAAGAAAGAAGGACAUAUCAAGAGGAUUUAAAAGGUUCACAAUACUGACUUGGAUUUAUUAUUUAUUUAUUUAUUUAUUUAUUUAUUUAUUUUUGAGAUAGGGUCUCACUCUGUGCCCCAGGCUGGAGUACAGUGGCAUAAUCAUGGCUCGUGGCAACCUCAAUCUCCUGGGCUCAAGCGAUCCUCUUGCCUCCGGCCUCCCUAAUAGCUGGAACUACAGGUGCACACCACAUGCCCAGAUAAUGUUUGUAUUUUUUGUAGAGACAAGGUCUCGCUAUGUUGCCCAGGCUGGUCUGGAACUCUUGGUCUCAAGUGAUCCCUGCCCUUGGCCUCCCAAAGUGAUGGGAUUACAGGCGUGAACCACUGUGCACAGCCCCCAAUACUGACUUGUUUAUGCUUUUUACUGUUGUGGUUUUGUUUUUGCUUACAUUUACUGUAAUCAACCUUAUUUAGUAUCAUAAAACUGUAUGGUGUAAAUAUUAUGUUGUCUAAGGUAUACAAGACCAAAAGUAGAGGUUGAAUAGGGUAGAUGCUCUGAUUUUUUUAUAUUACCCUUUUUAAUAAAAAAAAAUACUAUCAAUUGAAUAAUUCCAAUUCCAGUUCUUCCUUGAGAAAAGGAAACUGGUAGCUUUUUUGACUUAGUGCUAUUUGGAAGCUUUGUGCCUUUCUUUGCUUCAUGAAGAGAUCAGAGCAAGAUGUGAGACAAUUCCAUUCAGUCUUCUACAAUGUCACCCUGAG